CAAUGCCCCAGCCACUCUCCGUGCCCCAGUGCCUGCUCCUGUCCCAGUCCAUGUCCCUGUCACUCUCCCUGCCCCUGCCCUUGCCCUUCUCCCCCUACCCGUCUCUCCCAGCCCCUGUCCCUGUCCGAGUCCCCGUCCGUGCUCCUGUCCAGCCCCUGCCCCUGCCCUGUCCCGCGGGGUGUGCCCAGGCGCGGGCGCGGCUCUUGCAGAGCCCCGGGCUGUGUGUGCCUGCCAGGUGAGCUGGGCCGAUCCUGCUGUUUGGGAUGGCCUCUCCCGGCAGGCUGGCAUCCCAGGCGUCUGGCUGCCUCGGGUUGGAGGCUACAGCGUGGUUUUAGUCAAACGAGGCACAGACAAGACUGUCAAACCCUGCCUGGAAAUCUUGCGCCCUUCCUCCUUUCCACAUGCCAUUUUUAAACUCGGUGCUACCAGAUUCCCCUGGACACCAGGUGCUGGAACAAAACACGUUGGCUCUGCAGCCUUUCUGGCAAAAAAUGGAACAAUCUAUUUCUUUGCCAGCUGACAAGCCUGGGAAGCCAAGAAACCAACUGAGCAGUCGGCCUGAUGCCAGGGAGCUAGAUAGCCAGUCAGCUGAGCUACAGUGAGAAGCCAACUUGGCCAGCAACCACAGCCAGAUCACAGCUAAAACUUCUGUAGAAAGUUUUGACGGAACCAGGAGAAUUCAGAAUGUUCAGUGCCAGUCUGCUCAAUUAGAAGAUGGUUAAACAAACCCUCUUAAUAACUGACUGCGGUUGGGAAAGGAUGUAACUGUACUGCACUUUGUGUUCCUUAUGGAUUUCUUCAGCUUUUGCCUUGUGAGUUAUGCACAUAUUUAUUGCUACUAUUAAAUCAAUGAAUUUUCCUUAAGGAUUAAUGAUGACACCCAAGCCUAUGAGGGAGUUUUCAGUGCUAGUUUUGUAAUGAUCAUUCAAAUAACACUGCGUGCCAGCAGUACCUCAUAGUAUCUGCUUGUGUAUGUCUGCCUACUAACCAGAAGGUACAGUUACUGCAGGCUACACUGAGAGACUGAAAUAAACACUUCUGUCUGCUAUCAAA
Molecule: long non-coding RNA, 1053 nt
Organism: Pipra filicauda (Wire-tailed manakin)
Lineage: Eukaryota; Metazoa; Chordata; Aves; Passeriformes; Pipridae
Exons: 2
Source: RefSeq, a predicted model, not a curated record